UACGUAGGGUGCAAGCGUUGUCCGGAAUUAUUGGGCGUAAAGAGCUCGUAGGCGGUUUGUCGCGUCUGCUGUGAAAACUCAGGGCUUAACUCUGAGCUUGCAGUGGGUACGGGCAGACUAGAGUGCGGUAGGGGAGACUGGAAUUCCUGGUGUAGCGGUGAAAUGCGCAGAUAUCAGGAGGAACACCGGUGGCGAAGGCGGGUCUCUGGGCCGUAACUGACGCUGAGGAGCGAAAGCAUGGGGAGCGAACAGG
RNAcentral lists this ribosomal RNA (253 nucleotides) under uncultured bacterium. RNAcentral's name for it is "partial 16S ribosomal RNA". It matches the Rfam family "Bacterial small subunit ribosomal RNA", at positions 524 to 776 of the family's 1533-position model. The record is from RNAcentral.